Molecule: long non-coding RNA, 834 nt
Organism: Etheostoma spectabile (orangethroat darter)
Lineage: Eukaryota; Metazoa; Chordata; Actinopteri; Perciformes; Percidae
Exons: 4
Source: RefSeq, a predicted model, not a curated record
CCAGGGUACAGCUCAGCCCGGCUCAGACGCAGCCCGCUCAGGAAGCCCAGCACCACCAGGACGGUGCCGUAGACAGCCAGGAACGGUGCGGACAUCAUGGCGUAGCGGCGCCGGUCUCGCAUCAUCCAAAUUACACAGGACCACACCAGCAGGGCGAAAGUCAGCCAGUUGUUGUUACCUCCUGCUUAUCUCCUGAGAUGAAGAUGACCCUGGAGAAACUUGGAGGAGCCUCUGGACUUUCUACUGGACUCUCACACUCCUCAUCAUCAUCAACAACAGUAUCCUGAGAAACACAACAGCUAUUCAAAGCCUGCCACACAUCCUCUGGUGGCACAAGCUGCUGGGACAGAGGCAGCUGGUAGAGGUACAGAGCCAGCAGGUGUCCUCCGCUGAAGAUGGCCAUCAUCACGCACAGGGAGCUGAAGAGCAACAGGCUGAUGGAGCGGCUAAACACCCACCACCACACCAGCCCGAGAAACACCCCGAAAUACACACCUGAGUGACCAGGUUUGGGUUCGGCAGCAGCGGCAAGGUGAGCAAAAACAGGAAAUACACCACUGACAGACCAUUGUAGCGGAACAAAGAGGCUGAGGAACAAAAGAAAAGAACACAGAUAAUUUAUCUGGUUGACAGAAAUGGUCAGAAUCAAUUAAUUUGUAGAAAGCAAAACAUUUUUUUGUAAUCUGUUCUUUAAAUCACAAACAGGUCACAUUGAACAAAAAACACCAAAAAGAAAACAAAUGACAAAAUGACCUGUGUAUGUGUUAUUGUGAGUGUUUGUAAACUAAUACAAAUACAUUCUAAAAUGAAAUUACAACAGUUCAUCUUACAUAC